AUGACUCUCGGCAACGGAUAUCUCGGCUCUCGCAUCGAUGAAGAACGUAGCGAAAUGCGAUACCUGGUGUGAAUUGCAGAAUCCCGCGAACCAUCGAGUCUUUGAACGCAAGUUGCGCCCGAGGCCACUCGGUCGAGGGCACGCCUGCCUGGGCGUCACGC
RNAcentral lists this ribosomal RNA (161 nucleotides) under Hordeum pubiflorum. Its description in RNAcentral is "5.8S ribosomal RNA". It matches the Rfam family "5.8S ribosomal RNA". From Rfam's summary of the family: 5.8S ribosomal RNA (5.8S rRNA) is a component of the large subunit of the eukaryotic ribosome. It is transcribed by RNA polymerase I as part of the 45S precursor that also contains 18S and 28S rRNA. The record is from RNAcentral. Lineage: Eukaryota; Viridiplantae; Streptophyta; Magnoliopsida; Poales; Poaceae. RNAcentral also lists the same sequence under 1 other name.